AAAGCUUUAAGUUAAAUAAAACUAUUAGCCUUCAAAGUUAAAUAUGUAAAGUAAAUUACAAGCUUUA
RNAcentral lists this transfer RNA (67 nucleotides) under Erthesina fullo. RNAcentral's name for it is "tRNA-Trp". Lineage: Eukaryota; Metazoa; Arthropoda; Insecta; Hemiptera; Pentatomidae. The record is from RNAcentral.